Cyprinodon tularosa is the source of this 744-nucleotide long non-coding RNA. RefSeq lists it as uncharacterized. The record is from RefSeq and is a predicted model, not a curated record. NCBI's taxonomy places the organism in Eukaryota, Metazoa, Chordata, Actinopteri, Cyprinodontiformes, Cyprinodontidae. The transcript is spliced from 2 exons.
AAAAACGUCUUUCUGGUCCUGAGUAGAAUUGAGCGCUUGGGUUUUAAAAUGCAUGUCCCAGUCCUACCACGGAGUUAAAAUGCUGUGAUGAUGAUUCAUAAGACUAGAGUCUCUGAUAAUAUGAUGAGGCUAUUUCAAAUUACACUGAAUAAGCAUUAUGCUUAUGUUCAUUCUAAUCUGGAUUAGUAAAAGCUUCUCCUAAUUUUCAUUCUUUGUUUUGUUGUAGGCAUCGUUGAGGUGCCCAUAAAUGGACCGGUUCACUGCAGGUAAGCCUGGGAUCUACAUGCUGCUUCUGCAAGCUUUAAGUGGGAUGAUGAUUUUUGGACUAGAGUCUCUGACAAAAACACCAUGAAGUUGUUUUCAAUUCACUGACCACAAAAGCACGGCUUAAAAUGGAUGAUUUAUCCUUGAACUGCUUAUACUGGAAACCAUUCAUCAUGUGGUUUCUAGCGGUUUGCAGUUAAUGAGCUAAAACAUCCAUGUUUUUGCUGUUGCUUUUUUAUCUAAAUAUUUUAACUCAUUGGUUCUCAUCUACAGGUCAUCUGAUGUCUAUUGGGAUGCAUACUUGUGAACUGCUAAUAAAGGCUUUAUAGCCUUUGUCGAUGGAUUCAUUCUGGUUCUUCUGUCAAUUUUUUCCACAUGUGGUUCAUUUGAAUAAAGAUUGUAAAAUGUAAUCCUUUGUAAAGCAUUUUCACUUGACUGUAUGUGGAAUAUUGGUCAAAUAAAAGCUGAACAUGAAGCAGU